RNAcentral lists this ribosomal RNA (452 nucleotides) under uncultured bacterium. RNAcentral's name for it is "bacterial SSU rRNA". It matches the Rfam family "Bacterial small subunit ribosomal RNA", at positions 64 to 507 of the family's 1533-position model. The record is from RNAcentral.
GAGCGGUAGCACAGAUAGCUUGCUCUCGGGUGACGAGCGGCGGACGGGUGAGUAAUGUCUGGGAAACUGCCUGAUGGAGGGGGAUAACUACUGGAAACGGUAGCUAAUACCGCAUAACGUCGCAAGACCAAAGAGGGGGACCUUCGGGCCUCUUGCCAUCAGAUGUGCCCAGAUGGGAUUAGCUAGUAGGUGGGGUAAUGGCUCACCUAGGCGACGAUCCCUAGCUGGUCUGAGAGGAUGACCAGCCACACUGGAACUGAGACACGGUCCAGACUCCUACGGGAGGCAGCAGUGGGGAAUAUUGCACAAUGGGCGCAAGCCUGAUGCAGCCAUGCCGCGUGUAUGAAGAACGCCUUCGGGUUGUAAAGUACUUUCAGCGAGGAGGAAGGCACUGAGGNNNAUAACCCCUCAUUGAGGUUUCCCCAAAAAAAACANNNCCGGCUAACUCCGUG